UACAGAGGUCUCAAGCGUUGUUCGGAUUCAUUGGGCGUAAAGGGUGUGUAGGUGGCUCGCUAAGUCAGACGUGAAAUCCCUCAGCUUAACUGGGGAACUGCGUCUGAGACUGGUGAGCUUGAGUGCAGGAGAGGAACGCGGAAUUCCAGGUGUAGCGGUGAAAUGCGUAGAUAUCUGGAGGAACACCGGUGGCGAAGGCGGCGUUCUGGACUGCAACUGACACUGAUGAACGAAAGCCAGGGGAGCAAACGGG
This 253-nucleotide ribosomal RNA is filed under the name uncultured bacterium. RNAcentral's name for it is "partial 16S ribosomal RNA". It matches the Rfam family "Bacterial small subunit ribosomal RNA", at positions 524 to 776 of the family's 1533-position model. The record is from RNAcentral.